RNAcentral lists this ribosomal RNA (268 nucleotides) under Coenagrion sp. PVG-2012. RNAcentral describes it as "partial 28S ribosomal RNA". It matches the Rfam family "Eukaryotic large subunit ribosomal RNA", at positions 1544 to 1758 of the family's 3401-position model. The record is from RNAcentral. RNAcentral also lists the same sequence under 1 other name. Lineage: Eukaryota; Metazoa; Arthropoda; Insecta; Odonata; Coenagrionidae.
CCUAAGCCCUAGGAGAAAUCCGACGCCUACGGCGACGGGAAUAAAGAAUUGUAAGAAAUCGACCCGUUGAUCGGGCGAAAGGGAAUCCGGUUCCUAUUCCGGAACCCGGCAGCGGAACCGCUGUUUGUCGGGCCCUCACAAGGGGUUCGUCAGGGUAACCUAAAAGGGCCCGGAGACGCCGUCGGGAGCCCCGGAAAGAGUUUUCUUUUCUGCAUGAGCGUUCGAGUUCCCUGGAAUCCUCUCGCAGGGAGAUAGGGUUUGGAACGCG